Molecule: ribosomal RNA, 533 nt
Filed under: uncultured bacterium
Lineage: Bacteria
Description: bacterial SSU rRNA
Rfam family: Bacterial small subunit ribosomal RNA
Source: RNAcentral
CCAUGCCGCGUGUCUGAAGAAGGCCUUCGGGUGUAAAGGACUUUGUCAGGGAGCAAAACUUACUGGUUAAUACCCGGUGAGGCUGAGAGUACCUGAAGAAUAAGCACCGGCUAACUACGUGCCAGCAGCCGCGGUAAUACGUAGGGUGCAAGCGUUAAUCGGAAUUACUGGGCGUAAAGCGUGCGCAGGCGGACUUUUAAGCCAGAUGUGAAAGCCCCGAGCUUAACUUGGGAAUUGCGUUUGGAACUGGGAGUCUAGAGUCUGUCAGAGGGGGAUGGAAUUCCACGUGUAGCAGUGAAAUGCGUAGAGAUGUGGAGGAACACCGAUGGCGAAGGCAGUCCCCUGGGAUAAGACUGACGCUCAUGCACGAAAGCGUGGGGAGCAAACAGGAUUAGAUACCCUGGUAGUCCACGCCCUAAACGAUGUCUACUAGUUGUUGGGGUAGCAAUACCUCAGUGACGCAGCUAACGCGUGAAGUAGACCGCCUGGGGAGUACGGUCGCAAGAUUAAAACUCAAAGGAAUUGACGGGGAA